AAACGAUUCAGUUUUAGAAUGUCAUACUUUGCUAUAACGCAAUUAUAUACAACUUUCAGCAACGGAUCUCUUGGCUCUCGCAUCGAUGAAGAACGCAGCGAAAUGCGAUAAGUAAUGUGAAUUGCAGAAUUCAGUGAAUCAUCGAAUCUUUGAACGCACCUUGCGCUCCUUGGUAUUCCGAGGAGCAUGCCUGUUUGAGUCUCAUGGAAUUCUCAACCUUCAGCUUUAUUGAUGAAGGCUUGGACUUGGAGGUCGUGCCGGCUCUCGUAGUCGGCUCCUCUGAAAUGCAUU
Molecule: ribosomal RNA, 291 nt
Filed under: Bjerkandera sp. PAB-2014
Lineage: Eukaryota; Fungi; Basidiomycota; Agaricomycetes; Polyporales; Phanerochaetaceae
Description: 5.8S ribosomal RNA
Rfam family: 5.8S ribosomal RNA (bases 51-204)
About the family: 5.8S ribosomal RNA (5.8S rRNA) is a component of the large subunit of the eukaryotic ribosome. It is transcribed by RNA polymerase I as part of the 45S precursor that also contains 18S and 28S rRNA.
Source: RNAcentral